UGCACUUCAUAGGUUUACAAUUACAGACUGUAGCCCAUCUGUUGCUUCACAGUUUAUCAACUCACAUCUACACUGAUGGAAAGAGACCACCAUAGGACCACCACUGUCAGUUCUGUCAAGUCACGCAAUCUGGGAGAAUGGGUUAGACGAGAACCAGAAAUUCCCUGAUAUACAAAUAUGAGGCACUGGACCAUAUUUACAUAGUCAUUAGGUCUUAUUGUUCAGCCUUGCAAUGCCAUUGGAUGGUAAAUGUGCAGGUCUGACCAUCAGGCCAUGAAGUCAUACAACUUUCCUGGAUGCACAUCUCCC
Molecule: long non-coding RNA, 309 nt
Organism: Pygocentrus nattereri (red-bellied piranha)
Lineage: Eukaryota; Metazoa; Chordata; Actinopteri; Characiformes; Serrasalmidae
Exons: 3
Source: RefSeq, a predicted model, not a curated record